GGAGGGAUCGCAUAGUCCGGCCUAGUGCGCGGCACUCGAAAUGCCGUAGGGCGCUACCACGCCCUCGAGGGUUCGAAUCCCUCUCCCUCCGC
This 92-nucleotide transfer RNA is filed under the name bacterium BMS3Abin02. RNAcentral's name for it is "tRNA-Ser". It matches the Rfam family "tRNA". From Rfam's summary of the family: Transfer RNA (tRNA) molecules are approximately 80 nucleotides in length. Their secondary structure includes four short double-helical elements and three loops (D, anti-codon, and T loops). RNAcentral also lists the same sequence under 1 other name. The record is from RNAcentral.